GCCUGGGUGGCUCAGUUGGUUAAGCAUCUGACUUUGGCUCAGGUCAUGACCUCAUGGUUCAUGGGUUUGAGCCCCGUGUCGGGCU
This 85-nucleotide transfer RNA is filed under the name Felis catus (domestic cat). It matches the Rfam family "tRNA". Rfam says of the family: Transfer RNA (tRNA) molecules are approximately 80 nucleotides in length. Lineage: Eukaryota; Metazoa; Chordata; Mammalia; Carnivora; Felidae. The record is from Rfam by way of RNAcentral.